Molecule: long non-coding RNA, 4649 nt
Filed under: Hordeum vulgare
Lineage: Eukaryota; Viridiplantae; Streptophyta; Magnoliopsida; Poales; Poaceae
Description: long non-coding RNA (HVUL_LNC003449)
Source: RNAcentral
GUCAAGCCACGGGGGAGGGGUGCUCCCGGGGAACCAGAUGGGCCUCUCGGGCGCCGCGGCGCGCACGGCGAACGACGUGCGCGACGCGGCCGCCUUGCCGGCAGCGCCGAGGAAGGAGGUCCGGGCGCCGGCCAGCCCGUUGCUGGGGAGCGCCGCGACGGCGGUGGCGGAGGAGGAGGAGACCAGCGCCAUCGUUGCUGCACCAGUGCGCGCGCUCGCUGGCCGGCUGUGCCUGUAGCGGGGGGAGGCGCGCGCGUGCGUGCGUGGUGUGGGAGUGGAAUUGAGCGUGUGGUGCGCGCGGCAGUUUAUGGGGAUCUAGGCGCCAGGCGCCGGGUGGCCCUGGCUUAUCCGGGAGGAGAUAGCGAGCAAGGCCGUGGCGUGCCACGCGGCGUGGAGAAUCCGAUCCCCUGGCUACGCCGCGCCGGGGCCUUGCUGACGUGGAGGCCAUCCCGGUCGGGGCCUGAUGAAAAUCGGUGCCGAGGCUCGCGAUUGGACGACGUGCUCCGCAUUUGGCACGCGGGUUGCAGCCUUCGAUGUACUAUCGGCAUGAUGAUAUGUGCAUAUAUCCACGCAGAUUUUCUCUUAAGACUACUCGUAAUGCUAAGUAACAUAGAAUAGUAUAACAUAGAUAUGUUAUUAGUUUAAGUUAGUACCUCCACAGUGGAUAAUAACAUUGAGGUAGUAACACUUAGCCUUUCAUUUAUUAGUCUAUAGACUCUUCUUGCCUUGGUAUCCGUUAUGUUACUUCUAGUAUGAGUAACAUGCUAAGAGGGUGCUUGGAUCUAAGAAACUAAAACUAGUCUGACUAAAAAUAGUCUCUUUAAGAGGCUAAAGUUUUAAGUACCCCUAACUAAAGAGGGGGCUAAAACUAGUCUUGAGACUAAUUUUUUUAGUCAGGGAUACCCCUAGUAAAAUGUAGAUUAGUCCUCUCUCUCCUCAUUUAACUCCUUUCCUUUAACAUAGACGAGUUUUGGAUUGGAAGGUUUGGAGGAUAAUAAAUGCUCAUUAACUUGAUUUUAGUCUCUUUAGUAUUUGGAUCCAAGCGUGGGUGAGGCUAGCAAGUUUUAGUCCCACUACUUUUAGUCAUGAGACUAAAACGUAUCCAAGCACCCUCUAAGUUACUCAAUUUCUCUCUCUUCUCAUUAAUUAGUUGUCACAUCAUAUUUCUUGCUUAGGUGGCAUUUAUGUUACAUUGUCUAAGGCAAUGUACGGGUCCAUCGGAAAAAAUAUGUACUCUCUCCUUUUCGGUUUACAGGGAUUAAAUCUAAAAUCUUAUCAACCAAAGUAAAUUGUGAGUGGAUGACACUAGUCUUAGGCUGGCCAUAAUGGGAGUAACUAAGUUAGUAUCAUAUACUUGGGACUAACAAACAUGAUGAUGUGGCAGACAAUUAAAGAAGAGAGAGAGGUUAGAGUAACAUAGGUAGAUAUCGUAAAAUGUUAAAUGCUAUGCUACUAUGUGUCAUGCAUGUCAAUAAAUAAGGUCAUCUAUGAUACUAGUUUAUGAUACUAUGCAAUAUGAAGGUAGUAUCAUAUAAUAAUAUCACAUGCAUGAUACUACUAUAUGAUACUCCCGACUAUGGUCAGCCUUAACUAAUCGAUUUAAUAUUUCUCACAUAUUCAAUUUUCGAGAAAAUAAAUAUAGCAUCCUCUUUCUUAUUGGACUUGCAUGGUGCGUAAAGAUACAUGCAUAGCCACUAAUUUCCUUUCUCUUAUCUCUAUGAAUUAAAUGUGACGUGAGACUCAAAGCACUUUAAUUCAAUUAGACUUAAAAUGAGCCUAAUAUAAUGAAAAUAUGAAAAAAUUGAGAUAAGCCCUAUAAACCAAAAAGGAGGGAGUACAUGUAUUCAUAGAGAAAUGAUGAUGAUUAACGGUCGACAUUAAAAAAUUGUUAUAUGGUCAGCGCCCCCCCCUAGUGGGGCCCUCCAUCUGAUUUCUAUCCAACCAGAAAAUUCUACCGAGCUCGCUAAGAGCAUCUGCAACCUACUUUGCAAAUUUGUCCCUCAAACGUUCACGUCAUUUGCUCCUUACCAUCUGAGUCUCUCAUACUUCAUCCCCUAGAUUCAUAUAAAUCAUGCAAAAUAAACCUACGUGCUACGAUACACUAGCUAUGAUUCGUCAUCGGAGAUGUCUGUCGGUGCCCUGGCACCGGGUGGACGGCGCAGAGGAAGGUUGCCACUCCUCCUCCUUCUCAUAUAUGUACGCGAGCAUCUCAGUAACUUCCACGGAUGCUCCGCCUCUAUCUCCUGUCGACGAUGGGGUCUUUGCCUUCACCUCCGACUCUAGGUGAAAGGAAUCGAGCAUGGCAUCCUGCUCCGCGUGCAGAUCCGUUUCCCCAACGUUACCCACAUCCUCCUCCUCCUCAACCUCCCCCUCCUCUUCCUCAACCACACCCUCCUCCUCCUCCAAGUACUUUGGAUCCAACGCAUUCAAAGGUAGCCCCGCGGCGAUCCGGGCUUCGCUCCUUGCACGGAUAUGCUCAAGGAGAUCUAGCCGGUGCUCUAGCGUUACAUAUGUCCAACAGUGCGGACGACGAGUGGAAAGUGGCGGCAACGACGGACGAGGGGAUAAAAUGUGGACGGUUAGGGUUUCAGUGCCGGCGGUCGGCUUAAAUAGUCGGGCUAGGCACAACACGGCCCCCUGGAGCGGCGCGAAGCGGCUUCAUCGGUCCGACGGAGGAGACGAGCUUUGGACUGCUGUGUGAUGAGUGUGAUCUGCAUUGGUUUUUUUUCGUGAAGAGGAACGGGUUAUCGCAGCACAAUGCAGGUAAGUAUUUCCCUCAGUUAUGAAACCAAGUUUUAUCGAACCAAUGGGAAUACCAAUCCUCAACCUCUUCAGCGACUGCACACAAAGAAACAAACGACUUGCACCCAACACGGGCAAGAGGUUUGUCAAUCCCCUUGAUCUCGUUAUUUGCAAGAAAAUGAGGUGUAUAGGUAAUUUUUGAUGAUUUUAAAUUGCAAAAUAAAAUAAAACACAAAUAAUGGCAGCAAGGCAGUAGUAGCGUUUGUAAAUAUAUAAGUGAAUAGACCCGGGGGCCGCAAUAUUCCCUAGUGGCAUCUCUCAUAGCAAAGGCAUAUGGUGGGUAAACAAAUUAUUGUUGUGCAAUUGAUAGAACAACGAAUAAUUAUGCGAUUUUCACGACAAUGAACAUGUGUAUAUAGGCAUCACGUCCAUAAGCAAAUAGGCAGACUCUUGCGUGCACCUAUUACUACUAGUAGAACUCCCGUGCGUUGCUACGGGCCACAAUACAAAUAAAUGAAUCUAUCAAAUGAUUAAGGUUGUCUUUAAGGCCGAAGCUUAUUUCUUUCUCGUACAUCCUGGCGAGUCUGGACAUCAUGGGCACCCAACAGGCUCCUUUUUAUCUGUCUGACAGUUCACGCUCCCUAAAUCCAUACCAUAUGUUAGAAAUAUGCUUGUUCAGACUAUUCACCGUGUUAUAUCUUAAGCACGUAGGACGAACACAAAAACCUCACCCAUAGACACAUCCUUCCCAUUUCCUCCUACUCCCUCGCAUUCCCGAUAGAUUUUUUCCAUAGCAAGACAUUUCUAGUUGGAGUCAUGUCCUUUGAAACCAGAUGACACCCACAUCACCUUUACUGCGGCACCCUUAUGUUCUUAACCCUUUAAAACCAGAUAACACCCACCUUAUAUUCGACAUAGGACCUUAUGUUCUUCACCCUUUAAAACCGGAUGACGCCCACCUCACCUUCAGCAUGGCGCCCUAUGUUGUUCAUCCUGCCAACCGCCCCGCUUUCCUCCCUGAUCCCCUCCCCUAUGUUUGUGCUGAUCAACCACCGCCAUAAGCGGAGGAUGCGUGCGCCGCUCAUGACCCCCACCCCCAAAACCAUGAAUGCGGAUCUGGCGUCUCUUGAGCAAGCAAACAAAAAUUUAAUUUGUUGGGAUAAAAAAGGUAGUUAAUUGCCCAUGAGUUGCAACAGAAACAUAAAUAUUACUAGUGAAAUCAAUUUACUUGCAGAAAAUCGCUAUGGAGAAGAGGCAAGAAAAUAUUAUGUCGAGUUUACAACUGCAAAAUAAACUUGUAAAAUAACCAAUGGAGGAAAAAUACACACGAGUUAUCAUUGCAUAUGUGUGUUGCUACAAGCUAGUUCACUCUUGAUCGAUUCUUGCUAGAAAAUUCACUCGCUGGAACAUCCAGCAUCAGUUUUUAUGCUCUCGCAACAAAAACUCUUAUUUUGCAACAAAAACUCUUCUUAUGAACGAUGCUGGAUUAGAAGGCUACGUGUUGCUACCACUACCUUAUGCAUCCUCCUUUCUAUGGUCUUCCUCUAAUCUUCCCUGAUAGAUCCAUGUCUUCUAGUCGCUUCUAGAGGACCAGCGAGUUCAUGAGGAAGUGAAUGAACAAGUUGUUGGGUAACGUACCAUAAAUUCAAAAAAAAUCCUAUGCAUAUUCAGAUCUUCCUAUGGAGAGACCAGCAACGAGAGAGGGGUGAGAGCAUCUUCAUACCUUUGAAGAUCACUAAGCGGAAGCGUUGCUAGAACUCGGUUGAUGGAGUCGAACUCGCGGCGAUUCAGAUCGCGGUGUGAUUCCGAUCUAGUGCCGAACCACGGCACCUCCACGUUCAAAAGACGUGCAGCCUGGUGACGUCUCCCGCACCUUGAUCCAGCAAGGAGGAGGGAGAGGUUGGGGA